GAUGAACGCUGGCGGCAGGCUUAAUACAUGCCAGUCGAACGGUAAGGCCGAGUGUAGCAAUACACGAGGUACACGAGUGGCGCACGGGUGCGUAACGCGUAUGCAACCUGCCCCUGACCGGGACAAAACAGCUGGAAACGGCUGCUAAUAUCCCAUGGUUACCGAGGAGGGCAUCCUCCUUUGUAUAAAGAUUUAUUGGUCGGGGAUGGGCAUGCGUAUUAUUAGGUAGUUGGUGGGGUAACGGCCCACCAAGCCGACGAUGAUUAGGGGUUCUGAGAGGAUUAACCCCCACACUGGAACUGAGACACGGUCCAGACUCCUACGGGAGGCAGCAGUAGGGAAUAUUGGGCAAUGGAGGCAACUCUGACCCAGCCAUGCCGCGUGAAGGAAGACGGCCCUAUGGGUUGUAAACUUCUUUUAUCGUGGAGUAAACCCGGUCACGUGUGGCCGGUUGAGAGUACACGAGGAAUAAGUAUCGGCUAACUCCGUGCCAGCAGCCGCGGUAAUACGGAGGAUACGAGCGUUAUCCGGAUUUAUUGGGUUUAAAGGGUGCGCAGGCGGAUCGGUAAGUCAGGGGUGAAAAGUUGGGGCUCAACUCCAAUCGUGCCUUUGAUACUGCCGGACUAGAGUGCGAUAGGCGUGGCUGGAAUGUGAUGUGUAGCGGUGAAAUGCUUAGAUAUGUCACAGAACACCGAUCGAGAAGUCAGGUCACGAGCUCGCAACUGACGCUCAGGCACGAAAGCGUGGGGAUCAAACAGGCUUAGAUACCCUGGUAGUCCACGCUGUAAACGAUGAUCACUCGUUGUUGGGGGGCGACCCUCAGCGGCCAAGCGAAAGCAAUAAGUGAUCCACCUGGGGAGUACGAUCGCAAGGUUGAAACUCAAAGGAAUUGACGGGGACCCGCACAAGCGGUGGAGCAUGUGGUUUAAUUCGAAGCAACGCGAAGAACCUUACCUAAGCUUGACAUCCUUUUGACCGAUGCCUAAUCGCAUUUUUCCCUUCGGGGACAGAAGUGACGGGUGGUGCAUGGUUGUCGUCAGCUCGUGUCGUGAGAUGUUGGGUUAAGUCCCGCAACGAGCGCAACCCUUGCCUUUAGUUGCCAGCAUUAAGUUGGGCACUCUAGAGGGACUGCCAGGGAUAACCUGGAGGAAGGUGGGGAUGACGUCAAAUCAUCAUGCCCCUUAUGCUUAGGGCUACACACGUGCUACAAUGGGUGGUACAGAGGGCAGCCAAGUCGUGAGGCCGAGCUAAUCCCUUAAAGCCAUUCUCAGUUCGGAUUGUAGGCUGAAACUCGCCUACAUGAAGCUGGAGUUACUAGUAAUCGCAGAUCAGAAUGCUGCGGUGAAU
RNAcentral lists this ribosomal RNA (1347 nucleotides) under uncultured bacterium. Its description in RNAcentral is "bacterial SSU rRNA". It matches the Rfam family "Bacterial small subunit ribosomal RNA", at positions 28 to 1367 of the family's 1533-position model. The record is from RNAcentral.